CCUACGGGGGGCAGCAGUGAGGAAUAUUGGUCAAUGGGCGCGAGCCUGAAACAGCCAAGUCGCGUGAGGGAAGACGGCCCUACGGGUUGUAAACCUCUUUUGCCGGGGAGCAACGGGCGCCACGUGUGGCGCCACUGAGAGUACCCGGAGAAAAAGCAUCGGCUAACUCCGUGCCAGCAGCCGCGGUAAUACGUAGGAUGCGAGCGUUAUCCGGAUUUAUUGGGUUUAAAGGGUGCGUAGGCGGAGCGUUAAGUCAGUGGUAAAAUUGAGGGGCUCAACCCCUUCCCGCCAUUGAAACUGGCGCUCUUGAGUGGAAGAGAAGUAGGCGGAAUGCGUGGUGUAGCGGUGAAAUGCAUAGAUAUCACGCAGAACCCCGAUUGCGAAGGCAGCAUGCCGGCUUCCUACUGACGCUGAGGCACGAAAGCGUGGGGAGCAAAUAGGAUUAGAUACCCUGGUAGUC
RNAcentral lists this ribosomal RNA (460 nucleotides) under uncultured bacterium. RNAcentral's name for it is "partial 16S ribosomal RNA". It matches the Rfam family "Bacterial small subunit ribosomal RNA", at positions 338 to 795 of the family's 1533-position model. The record is from RNAcentral.